UGGGGUGUAGCUCCGCGGUAGAACACCUGCCUAGCAUGCAGGAAGCCCUGGGUUCAAUUCCAGCACCAGAA
Molecule: transfer RNA, 71 nt
Filed under: Heterocephalus glaber (naked mole-rat)
Lineage: Eukaryota; Metazoa; Chordata; Mammalia; Rodentia; Bathyergidae
Rfam family: tRNA
About the family: Transfer RNA (tRNA) molecules are approximately 80 nucleotides in length. Their secondary structure includes four short double-helical elements and three loops (D, anti-codon, and T loops).
Source: Rfam by way of RNAcentral